UGCAGAAUGAGGCAUGUGGAGCUGCUGAGCAGUUGGCUUCCAUGGGGGCUCAGCCAAAAUUGGUCCCUCCUCUCCAAAGCAGGGCUUAAGGAGCUGACAUCCACUGACUCUGACCGGAGCAGUUGGCCUCCUAGGGGACUAGCCACAGUGGGAUCUUUUUUCAUGCUCUUUUGGACAAUUUGUGAUGUGAACUUCUGUACUUUAUCUCUCAAGGUCAUACAGUCUGGUAUCAGAUAGCAACAGAGCUGCAGCAAUAACAGCAAAUGCCAUCUUAGAUUAAUCUGCAGGUCUCUAAACUCUGCUUUAAGCUUGACUUCAGUUUGAUUGCUUCCUUGGCCUUUGUUCUGAAACAAUAAACUGAGAUGGAGAUAUAUAGAUAAUCUGGCUCCUGCCCCCAGGCUGCAUGCUCAUGGAGGAUGCUGUAGCACAGGUGAUUCAAAAGAAAUAAAAAACAGAAACAAGUUUUCAUGUCAAAUGAAACGUAUUUGUGAGCCAAAUGUGAUCCAUGAGCUACUAAAUUGAAACUUCAGAAGUACCAGCAAAUCCAUUUAACUUUCAUCAAUGAAUCAAUGAACAAAUGGAUGAAAAAAUAAGUUUCUCAAGUAAGUUGGCCUCAAGAAUAAAGUGCAAGGGGAACGUAUAAUACUAUCAUCAAAAUAAAAUCAAAUGUAUGGUUGUAUAAUCAAAGUGCCUGGUGCUAUCAUUUAUGAGAAGUCUGUACUUGGACAAAUUAUAUAUAACUUCUCUAACCUCAUUUUCCUCAUGUAAAAUGGACAAACAAUAAUACCUCAUAAGAUUGUUAAAAGUAUUCAGUGAUUUCACCUAUGUAAAGGCAAGUAAUCCAGUGCUAGGAACCUAAGUGCUCAAGAAGGUUUUGCUGUAGAGCAGAUGGAAAUUGUUGAAGAUUUUAUGAAAUAAGAGAAUUACUCAGUUUGGAAAUUUAAUUGUAAAAAGUCAAAGAUGACUCCAAGAUGUAUUUCAGCAAUUAAACAUACCUAAGUAUUCUCUAGCUGAUCAGCUCAAAUUUCACACAAAUAUUCAUAUCAACAGUAUUUAGCACUAGAAUCACCUGAAUAUUGAAACUGGACUGUAAGGAAAAUGGACCUUGAUGUCUUCAUUGUCCACCAAACAUUUCUUCUGCUGUCAAAAAUUCACCUGUUAAAAGUCCUAUGGAAUAUACAACAUUUCCAUUCUAAUUCUCCUAUGAGGAAUAUUUGGUCCUUUUUGUAGAGGAUUGAGAGAAAAGGGUAAUUACUAAAUAAUAUUAAUGUAUUCAGCAACUACAAUAAUAAAUGGAAUGUAAACAAAAGGAAAUGCUGGGAGGAAAGAGUAUAGAUUUACCAUCCCUCUGUGUGUGCUAAACUGUGCACAUUCUUUUGGCAGCAUUUUCCUUCAAUAGCAUUAAUUUCCUGUGCGUGUUCAAAAAUAACUUUGUGGAAUUCCAACACUUUCAGAGAGCAAUCUCAGCUUUAAAGGAGCACUAAUGAGCUGUGUAUUGAAUCCAAAAUUCUAACUUUUCAUCCAAAAUGAAUUGCUUGUGCAACUUGUUUUUAAAAGGCAGUUUAUUUGUUUUCAAAUGACAGCAAAGUGUGAAUAGUAUCUGAAAGUUCAAAGCUAAAAGCUACUGACAUGAGGAAAAAACAUAUUGUAAGAUGUAGAAAAAAAUUAUAAUCAUUAUUUUGAGUUUAUCUUCUUACUGUAUAUCAUCCUUAAAAUCAUGAUUUAUUUUCUGGAACAUAU
Molecule: long non-coding RNA, 1740 nt
Organism: Choloepus didactylus (southern two-toed sloth)
Lineage: Eukaryota; Metazoa; Chordata; Mammalia; Pilosa; Megalonychidae
Exons: 4
Source: RefSeq, a predicted model, not a curated record